Molecule: ribosomal RNA, 159 nt
Filed under: Kondoa yuccicola
Lineage: Eukaryota; Fungi; Basidiomycota; Agaricostilbomycetes; Agaricostilbales; Kondoaceae
Description: 5.8S ribosomal RNA
Rfam family: 5.8S ribosomal RNA
About the family: 5.8S ribosomal RNA (5.8S rRNA) is a component of the large subunit of the eukaryotic ribosome.
Source: RNAcentral
CAACUUUCAGCAACGGAUUUCUUGGCUCUCGCAUCGAUGAAGAACGCAGCGAAAUGCGAUACGUAAUGUGAAUUGCAGAACUCAGUGAAUCAUCGAAUUUUUGAACGCACCUUGCGCUCUCUAGUUAUUCUGGAGAGCAUGCUUGUUUGAGUGUCGCGA